This 595-nucleotide ribosomal RNA is filed under the name uncultured Bacteroidota bacterium. Its description in RNAcentral is "bacterial SSU rRNA". It matches the Rfam family "Bacterial small subunit ribosomal RNA", at positions 122 to 715 of the family's 1533-position model. The record is from RNAcentral. Lineage: Bacteria; Pseudomonadati; Bacteroidota.
CAACCUGCCCACCACUUGGGAAUAACCUUGCGAAAGUAAGACUAAUGCCCAAUGAUAUUGAGUGCAGACAUCUAAUCUCAAUUAAAGAUUUAUCGGUGAUGGAUGGGGAUGCGUCCGAUUAGCUUGUUGGCGGGGUAACGGCCCACCAAGGCAACGAUCGGUAGGGGUUCUGAGAGGAAGGUCCCCCACAUUGGAACUGAGACACGGUCCAAACUCCUACGGGAGGCAGCAGUGAGGAAUAUUGGUCAAUGGGCGAGAGCCUGAACCAGCCAAGUAGCGUGCAGGAUGACGGCCCUAUGGGUUGUAAACUGCUUUUAUAAGGGAAUAAAGUGGGGCUCGUGAGCUCCUUUGCAUGUACCUUAUGAAUAAGGACCGGCUAAUUCCGUGCCAGCAGCCGCGGUAAUACGGAAGGUCCGGGCGUUAUCCGGAUUUAUUGGGUUUAAAGGGAGCGUAGGCCGCAGGUUAAGCGUGUUGUGAAAUGUAGGGGCUCAACCUCUGCACUGCAGCGCGAACUGGCUUGCUUGAGUACGCACAACGUGGGCGGAAUUCGUGGUGUAGCGGUGAAAUGCUUAGAUAUCACGAAGAACUCCGAUUG